ACAGCUGGCCAGGCCACUUCACGAGGGAGGCACUCUGGGUGCAGGCCAGCCCCGCAGGAGCACGGCGGAGGCCAGGGACAGACCCCAGGUGGCACCAGCCACACGGGCACAGACAAGGCCCAUGGCACUCAGCACCCUGCGUGGGCCCCAAGGUCAAGCAAGGCUGCCUCUACCACAUGUGUCAAGCCCCGGGCCCCUCAGCCACUCCAGGUCUCCCUGUGACCAACGCACCUGGCUUAAACAUGUCUGCUGCCAUAUCCCUACACUCUCAGGAGCUGGGCUGAACAAGAGCAAAGCCACGGCUCUGAAAAUCGAGGCUCGAGGACAAGGAGGGCAAGCAACGGAGAGGGAACCAGAGGCAAAGAGCCUUUUAAAGCCACGCGAGGAACCCUGACACAGGACACGAGAACGCGACUCGGGCUCCAUCUCAGAAGGAGAGUCCUGACUUUUGGAGUCUCGCUGUCCCUGAAUUUAAAUGUGUAAAGGUGACCAGCGGUGGGGCACCCUCCACGCGGUCCCAGCCCCAGGCGGUGGCGGCCACCGCGACCGAAGCCAGCGCGUCCCCUGCGCGCUCCACACACCGGGACAGCGCACCUCACCGCCCGCCUUCCUUCCCUUUCUGCUCUUCAAAAUUAAAAAGAGAAAGAAAAAGUCCAUCCGUGACCCCAAGUUUUCCUGCUGAAAUUCAAUCCAAAAGCACUCACAUGGACU
Cavia porcellus (domestic guinea pig) is the source of this 711-nucleotide long non-coding RNA. RefSeq lists it as uncharacterized. NCBI's taxonomy places the organism in Eukaryota, Metazoa, Chordata, Mammalia, Rodentia, Caviidae. The record is from RefSeq and is a predicted model, not a curated record. The transcript is spliced from 3 exons.